UCAAUAUCUCUGAAUUUGUGUAUUUUCCUGUACAAAUAGGGGGGAAAGACGCAAAGGGAGGCAGCGAUGAGCUGAGCCUCCUCUCGGAUUGCGCAAUCCCUCGCAAACUGGAUUGAGCUGCUAAUUUUUUUUUUGCUCAACUUGAACACGUGCAAUUGAUCUCUCUGUAUGUCACCAAUGUAAUAUUUGUACACACUUUUAUUAUAUGUCCUCACAUUCCAUAGUCUAGGUCAUGUAUUUCACGUAUGUGUAUAACUUAUUAGUCUUGCAGAUCUGACAUAACGCCGCAGUGAAAAAGCAGGAGGGGAGGCAGCCAGUACCUCUGCCUUACUGAAGGGGGCGUGUGUGAGCAUACGGGCUUGUUCUGCUAUUGUUCUUCUUCAUGUAUUACAGACAAAUGGCAUUGUGGGUAAUAUGCUAACUAAAAAAGUCAAGUAGACAAAGUCAAGUGCACCGCAUCAGUCCGUUUAUUUUUAUUUUUUGCCCUGACAGCAAAAAUGGAAGAUUAUAUAUAUAAGUGACAACGAGUGACAAUGUCUGGACUACAACUGGAUUUUGUGACUUGAAAAAUAUACCAAGAAACCUCAGCAGACAUGAAAGUUCAACUACUCACAUUCAAAGUCAAAUUGAUUGAAAAACUUUUGGAAGCGCAAGGAUAGAUUUGGCUUUGAACAAACAGUGGAGACUAAAUAUUAGCGUCCACAAUGCUAAGGUAAAGGAAAACCGAGAGGCUUUAAAAGACCUCAUUAAUGCAGCUUGCUUCCUAGCCAAACAGCAAUUAGCAUUUCGUGGUAAUGAUGAGAGUAUGACCUCUUCUAAUCGUGGCAACUAUGUAGAACUUUUACAUGCUUCAGCUGAGAAAGAAGAUAGGUUAGCUAGACAUUUGGAGACAUCCACUGUGUUUUCUGGCUUAUCAAACAGAAUUCAGAACGAUUUAAUUGAAGCAAUAAGUGAUGUGAUUAGAAAUUAUAUAAAAAAGGAGAUUAAAGCAGCCCUAUUUGUUGCUGUAGAAGUAGAUGAGACAACGGAUGUCACAAACAAUGCCCAGAUCUCUUUCAUUUUGCGUUAUGUGGCUAAAAGUGAGGUGGCCUGUGAAGUGAGGGAGGCAUUUUUGGGAUUUGAUGAUUACACUACAUUUAUUCAUUUAGCAGAUGUUUUUAUCCAAAGUGACUUACAAAUGAGAAAAAUACAAGCAAAGCGAUAUAUCAAAAAGAAAACAAUACAAGUAGUGAUACCAUACAAGAUCCAUUAAUUGAGUUCCAGAAGAAGCAAAGUGCACAGAGUAGAGGUGUAAGUGCAAAUUUGUUUGUUUGUUUAUUUAUUUAUUUAUUUUAAUGAUUUGGUUAGGUGUUCACGGAAGAUGCGGGUCUUUAUCUGCUUUUUGAACAUGGUGAGAGAUUCUGCGGUCCGGAUUGAGGCGCCACGCUGAGUGGGAACUACUAAACGUCAGUCGCUAAUCGAUCACAGAUUGUGUGAGGCAGCUACAGGAAGCCAGUGGAGGGGGAUGAAGAGGGCUGUGACAUGGGUUCUCUUUGGCUGGUUGAAGAUGAGGCGUGCUGCAGCAUUCUGAAUCAUCUGAAGAGGUUUGAUGGAGCUGGCUGGGAGGCCUGAAAGUAGUCAGUUGCAGUAGUCCAGUUUUGAGAUAACAAGAGCCUGGACUAAUGAGUCCAGGCUAGAUGAUGUGAGUAAUGACAGACGAGUAAAGGUAAGACCAUGCAUACACUGCUGUACAGUCCAUGACAAAAAUAAAAGACCAGCCCCUUUUUUAAUAAUAACUAAAAAAAUGAUAUAAAACAAGAUAAGAAAAAAAUUGUUAUUUUAAAGAAUAAAACUACAUUUGUCUUUUUGUUGUGGACAGUAUAUUCUUUCAUUUGUAUUGAAUGAGUUUGAAUUGUGGAAUUGUGAUGGCAAAUUAAGAACACAUGGAGGGCGCAGAGCAAAUGUGCUCUCUCUGAGCCGCUAUAAAUUUAACGUUCUUCUUUGGCCAAAUAUGUACCUUACCUAUGUGUGUGUAAAGUAGUCAAUGUGCAAGCAGCCAGUUGAAUGGUGAAUUUAUUCUACUCUGUUGAAUUCAUAUAUUUGUAAAUCUAACUUUGAAAGAGUCAGUGCCUCCCCAGCCACGAACCUCACCGCACGUCACUGGCAGUAAUGGUGAAUAGAAACAAAAAUCUUACAUGCCCAUAUGCAUAGGAUUAUUUGCUUGCUGUCAAAUUCCAUAAAAAGUGCAUAUGAAUAUAUGUUAAAAUAUGAAUUAGCCCAUCCAUUUACACUUCCAUAAACAGAGCAAACAUUAGCUGUUUGUAUUGCCUAAACCCUCAAAGGUAAAAAAAAAAAAAAAAAAGAAAAAGAGAAGUUGACUUAAAAUACUAAAAACAUGCUGCACAGCUUUUUUUUUAGUUUACACAACUUUAAAAAUUACUUUUUUACUUUACUUUGUUAAGUGAACUACUUUGGUUAAAAGUUGAGUAAACUCAAAAAAGCUGUGCAGCAAGUUGUAAAAAUUGUCACCUGGAAAUCACAAGGAGGCAGUAUGAAUUUUUAUUUCAACUUUAAUAUAUUUUUGUAUGAAUUUUCAACUUUAAUGC
Ictalurus punctatus (channel catfish) is the source of this 2585-nucleotide long non-coding RNA. NCBI's taxonomy places the organism in Eukaryota, Metazoa, Chordata, Actinopteri, Siluriformes, Ictaluridae. The record is from Ensembl.